CCGGGCCGGGCCGGGCGCCCCGCCAGGUCUAUGCCGUACAGGCCGGGAGACUACAGCUCCUAGCAUCCCCGGCAGCGCGCGGGGCGCCAUGGGGAGAGUGGCGGAGCCGCGGCGCAGCGCGCAGAACAGAAGGAAAAUGAACCAGCUGCAGGCUUUGCUGAAUGACAGUCUUAUCAGAACAAAGCAUGUGGAAAACGCAGCUAUCAUUGACAUAAAAGACAAGUCUGUGCAUCAACCUAUGGCUUUUACUAACGUAAGAGAUCCAAGAGCAUCCAGGGAAGUGAAGCAGAGGUAGAAACUCUGGGAAUCUAGAGCACAAAGUAGCAGUAAAAGGCAGGGAGCACAGCGCUUUACUAAAUACACUUGAUUCUUUCAACCUCAGAGACCGAGUUACAGGCGUGCAGCCUACCUACUGUGUUCAGAAGCUAACGUCACAUCUUUGAUUUUCAGAAGAAAGAUGCCAUUUAACUGGCAUUUUCAAGGAGUCCUUUUUAACCACUCCGCACUCAAUGACUCCACCAGUGAAGCACAUGUACGUAGGUCUGUUCUCUGGCACUGAGACCUGCUGGUAUGGAAUAUGCCGUGCCCAUAACUAUAACCCCGAAACAGAGUGGCUGUACCAGGUUGCCUAUGGGGAGCAGUCCUGGGCCAUUCUAAAUUUAGACUGUGCCUCAGAAUUGUUUGGGAAAGUGCUUACUGGCUCAGGCCAAAACACCAGCCAGACUGUCCCGACAGCACUCAGAACUGCUCCCUGGCACCUUAAAUUUGCUGGCAUAUAUGUAGUUUAUCUGUUUUCAUUGUGCAUCAGCUGAUAAACAGCAGAAUAAAAGCACUUCUAGUCAUAUCAUAUUAUAUGGCAAAACUAAUACUCUCUGACAAAGUCUGUGAACUUUCUAGAAGUUGAGAAAUGCUUCCCACACCACAGUCCUCCCCUUAUGUCGUUGGAAGGUGGUACCACUUCCUCUCCUAAACCCCAUGAUACCAGCUCUCAAACACUUCCAGGAAGUUUUUCCAGGGGUGCAUGCUGCUAUCCUUGGCACACUCAGAAGAAUGUUCAGAAGACGAAGCCCUUGUUAAGAUAGCCCCAUCCCCAGAGACAGAUUUUCAGCAGAGCGAGCCAUUAGCCCACUAGCUAACAGUGACAUAAUCUUUAAUAUAUAAAUGAUCUUAAGUAUAAACCACAGCUUUCAGAGAUGCCAGCCUGCUGGCUUUUCAGCAAAGAUUACAUGCUGAGGUGCAGAGCGAAGUCCUCAGCUGGUGUUAAUUAUCACCAUCUCCACUGACUUGAAAGAAUUUCAGGCCAGGAGGGAUCACUGGAUCAUCUUAUCCAACCAGUUAAAUAUAAAUCUGCCAAACCAGUGAGCCAGUUACACAUACACUGUGCCCAAGAAGUCAUUGACAUGAACAGAUUUGACCUGUGCAAACUGCUCCAUUGAGGUGUGGUCAUCUGCUCUGGACCGGCUAAAGGUUACACUUCCCAUUGAAGACUUAAAGAGUAUUUGAAAUUGGCAUCCUUGGGUGAGCUCUGCCUUGGGUCCAGUCACCACAGGCACAUUGCCUACCUAGAGACGUGGUACUGAGUAAUGGGCCUACGCAGAUAGUAAUGGCAGACUAAGCAGAUAGCUUCAAAUAAGACUUUGAAAAUAUAGUGGACUGUACAGGAACUAGGUCUAGUUUCAAAGCACGCAGAUUUUUUUUUUUUUAACAUCAUAAUUUUUAUGAACUAUCAAAAACAGUGGGAGGGUGGAAAGCAGUUCAUCAUUGCAAAUUGGUGCAUUUUUGGUCCGUUACACUGUGCUGUAUUGACACAGGUGCCACCAGAGUGCUUUAAACCUUAUCUACACUUUCUACAAGAACUUACUGCAAGUUAGAAGGGGAGGACUCUGCUUCAAGGAGGCGUAUUAUAAAUGUGUCCAUGCAGAUGAGCAUUCCAUGUAUCUUCAGAAUGUACGUUGACAAGAGCUGUAGCCAUCCUGAGAAAUUUGGAGACUUCCUACUUCCUUCCCUUGCUGCCUGGUUACAUGAAUACCUUAACACAAGCAGAAAGCCUUCACAUGCUGCUUUCUUUCUCUGUAUUACCUUCCCAGCAGGCGUGGAAUGAAAUCAGUGCAGGAUACACAAGUGUCAGCUGUUUAAUACAAAUAGAAUGGGUAACACCAUUCAUUUCCCUAACACCAGGUGCAGGACCCAUCAUGUUCUCCUUGAAAUCAGUUCAUCAUGCUUUUGCAUACGACAUCAAGCACUAGGAUAACACUUCUUUGAAAUGCUGUACAAUAGCACAUGAAUCAAUGGAAGUGAGAACAAGCAAUAUAAUAAAGCAUUUGACUGACCUGCUUUAAUAGUCAGCAGUCUUCAGAACAUUAUCACUGUUUAUCUGCAUCCUGGCUUAGACUUUAAGACAAUAUUUGCCUUUUUUUUCCCCCAAGAAAAUAGGUAUAUUGGCAAAGAAAUGCCUGUAUUUGGCCCAAAUUAUCAGGCAAAUAUGUAUACCUAUGUAUUUUUUUAGAACCUUGUAACCUUUUACCAAUUUUCCGUACUAUCUAGCCAGAUGGAGGCCUGAUAGUUGUGAAGACAAAGACUUUCAUCCUGCUUGCUACUUACAGAGCGGGCAUCUAUCCCAGUGUGUGCGUGGAAGCUGCAGAGAAACCAGGUAAGAGAAAUGACUCUAUCUGUAUGCCUGCCUGCCAGCAUCUCACUGUUUAGCUCUGCCCCUGCAAACAGCUUCAAAAACCAAUCUGUCAAACUACCAAAUCCUAAAAAUCUGGAAAACUGAACAGGCAUUGUUAUGGCUCCACAGCUGAACCUUCUCCAGGCAUCACAUCCCGUCAUGCUCCACAGCCUCUGUAGGUAUGAACAGGUUACCGAACUCUCUUUCCUUGGCCAUUCUGCACAAGUUUUCUGUUAGUUACCCUUCAACAAAAUGAGCCCUGGCAGUCACAUUUUCUUGACCUCAUAUACCUGAUGCUGAGGUCUUAAGCACACUUUUGUAGAGCAUCAGCUCUGAUGCUCUGUUUCACAGUCCACUUCUUCAAAGACACAUGAGCUCUCUAAGCGUUCCAAACUUUCUACAGAAAUCCUAGUCUCUAGGAGAAAGCUGGAGUCUCUUUUCCUGCCUGUGAAUUCUGAGACAUCAUGAAGCGAGUCUCCUUGUCUCACAGUAACAAAUCACCUCUUCUUUAACAAAAGUGCCUGUUUCCUUCCCUCUCCUGCUCGAUAUCGAGCUCUUUGUUGUCCAUUUAGGAACACUGCAAAACUCAGCCCUUCGCAGACCAGCAGCAGAAUCCUGAUUGCAUCCGAGAUGUAGUUUUCCUUUUGUGUGGAGGUGCUGGCAAGGAUUAACCAUUCUUCAUUGGCCUUGGUCUGGGAGAUAAAUAACAGGCUUACACAUCUUACUGAUGUACUAAUACAUGGCUGACUUCAUAUCAAGGAUACAAUAAUUUUAUCACAUCAUCCAAAUGGAUAAAAUGCACAACUGCAGAUUAUCAGAAUAGCCUUGAUUUUCACUGCAGGGGUGAUUCUAAGAAAUUUCCAAGGCAUUUCAAGGGUAUUUCUAAGGAAUAUUUUGUAAACUAGUAAGAUUCAACUUAAUCAGUGUAUAUGUGCAUCUUCUUUCUCUGAACAGGAAUGAAAUUGUAGGCCCAUUGUGCUCCUCACUUUUGUUCCUCCUUUAGAUGCCCAAAAGUAAGUGGAAUUAUUUUGUAUUUUGGGGCAUAAGCUGUUUAGUCUGGAAUGAGCUAUAAAACUCUCAGUAAUAAAUUUUUCAUCAGACCUUUUUCAAAAGGCUUUUACAAUUCAAAAAGCUAGAAUCAAGAACAGGAUUAUAAAGACUAUAAUGCAGGUUUUAAAACAAACUUGCCUGCUGGACCCUCAGAAGCUUGGUUCUUGGCUGGUGGGUCUGUGCUUGGUGCCAGGUUGGCAGAGGCUGGUGCCCACUGCAGCCUCUCCACUUCUUCACACUUUUAUCCAAAAUUAAUCUGACUGCAGACAGGCCAGAAGAAGAAGGAAUUGGAUUGCCCAUGUUUGUGGAUCUUUCCUAUGUUCAUUUCAGCCUCAACUAUCAGAGCAACCUCAUAACUUUAUGUUAUGUUCUGCUUUCUCUAGUUCUUGGCCACUGCUUUUGUUAGUGUCUCGUCACAGGUUGAGCACAAAACAACUGUACCAGCACUGCACUGCCUAGAGAUCCUCAAUCUUCUUGUGCUCCAGACAGGAUUCUGCCUCAUGUCUGUCAUAUUUAGCAGUUGUGAUGGAUCUGUGAGCGAUUAGGUAAUGUAAGUCUUUGUCACUGACAUGCACAGCCAGCACAUUAACUUCAGAUGAUUUUGGUGGACACUUACAUGCUGGGCUAUGAACAGAGGAGCAAGCAAAUUUCCCAUUUUGGUAUUGUUUGGCAUAGAUAAGGACUAACAGCUUCCAGCAGUAACCUCAAGGAUGUCCACUGGGUUAAGUCUUCUGAGAGCAUGACCGAGUUUUUAAUCACUGGGUUAAAACAGGCAUGAAAUGGAACCAAACCAGGAUAGUCCUUCCAGGUCAGGGGUGUUUUCAAGGGAUUGUUUCCACCUAGGGCAGCAUUAAUAAGACUUACUAAAUCUAAGAAUUGGGCCUUAUAUUUAAGCUAAUUUCAGUUUCACAUUUAGCUGAAAUCCAAGUGUCUCUUUGAACAUCCCAGAUCCAUCUGCUGGCAACCUAAAGAAAAGAAAAAACUGUGAAUCUAUAUACUGCACAGUUUUUUGUUCGUUUAAAGAACACAGUAUUAUAUAAAUGCUGACAGAACUGCAUUAUGAAAGUUACAAGCAGAAAUAACAAUUGCAAAAUUACAGUGAGAAUGAACAAGUCUUGUCUGAUGUUGAAAUACACAUCCUUGCUUCACAGUGAAACUCCCACCCCCACAGAUCCAAAAAUUUCUACGGCAAAAACUCAGUUCUCUGUGAUGUUCACUUGUUAGCACUUUAAUGUACUCUAACAGCACCCCUUCAAAAUCAAUGUGAAUAGACACUAGUUUUGGGAACAUAUACAACUAAGGUGUCACGUCCCCCACUCCUCCACCUCCAGCUUACUCCACCAGUCUACUUGUGACUGUUUACUGGGCUCUCUGCUUUUCUGAUGAAAUUCUUUUCAAAGCUAAAAUGUGUGAAUUGACUGCUGGAAUAAACACAUUCCUCAGAGGGGAAAAAGUUAACUCGGACCAUUUCAGUAAUCUCUUUUAACCCUCAGCUCCUCUGUCAAAGUACAACUUCUGAGGCAGCAUGCUGUGAGACAGCACCAGAGUAGCAGGUAGAUGCAGGCCCCUCAGACCAGCUUCAUUACUGAAGCUGACAACCCUUCAAACAUUGUUUCAUGUAACCUGCUAAAACCAGGUAUGGUUUCAUCGAGGUUUAAGAGCUGAUGAUGAACACUCCUAAACAGAAGUACGCUCUGACGCUCCGCAAGAUACCUAAAAGUGUUUUGAAUGCCAGUGGGAGCUUGCAAUACAUACAAAUUUAUAUCCAACACAGGAAAGUCUAAGAAUGCUUUUCUUUUGGGUGUGCCAAGUUCAGAUCACUAAUGUUAAUUUAUAGUGCCAGAAGCACCUUUGGUAGCAGCUACAGUUGAAAGAGUUUCCAUCCCUUUCCUUGCCACCUGUACCUUUCCAUGUCACCCCACACUACAACUGCACAGCAUUUUGCACUGGAUGUGAUGACCCAGCUGGAUAUCAAAGUACAUUGGAAAAAGAAAACUCACAGCAGACAUGUAACUAUACUGGCACAGCACACAGCAGUAAUAACCCAUUGACAGGGAAGAGCAGCACAGGCUGCUUACCACUGUUACUGAAUUAAAAAAAGACAACCAGCUUCACAGGGUUAGGUAGAAUCACAGCAGUACCUUAACCCAUCGCCUGGUAUAUUACUCUCCAUAAAGAACCUUGAGUUGGCUUCAAGACCAACUCAAAUUAGCUACGCUGCUGAAUGCGGAUGAACGCCUACUACAUAACACACAGUUAUAAAAACUAUUUUCAAUUUGCAAAAGAUAUUGCGGGUAAUGUGUUUGCUUACAUUUAUUGCCUGACCUGCCUUUUCCACAAUUAGUACGGAUACCACAUACUUGUAACGAUCAAAUACCAAUUCCUUCACAGCCUUUAAUAUUUCUUCUGAGAUUGAAGCACACAAGGAAGGACUAGAAACUCCAUCAUAUUUGGCUUGUUGAAGUUUAUUCUUUCAAAAUUGUUUUUGAUAGAUCUUAAGUUUUCAUCCUGCUAGUCUUUUGCAAAAAAGCUUUUACAGUCAUUUUCAUCACAAGAACAUUAGAAGAACUAAUGAGCAGAAUAGUCAACAUAGAUGGAUGCUCUCAAACAGCAAAGGUUGCAUUACUUUUACUCUAAAAUGUAUUAUCUAAUUUUCAAAAGUGACAAACACAUUCAGCCAAUCUCCAUUUAAUAAUCAGGAGUGUAUUCUUCUCUUCACUUGGGCUCAGUUCACUGGAAAAUAGCACUACAAAUACCUGUUCCAGACAUUCAAGGCAUGCCUUCCAGACAGCUGAAGUACAAGAGCUGGUUGUAACUAUGCAAGGUGUCAUUAACAGCUACAUAUUAUCUCAAGCAAAACUGAUGGAGAACAAUCUGUUAAUUUUUCUAGGUGGCAGUCAGUCUACCAAGGACACUAAGUGUAUUUUUUGCAGGUCAUGGGGCAUUAGAGGAACUAAUUGAAAGGGUAGAAUUCCACAAAUUCAAGGUCAAGAUUUUUUGGAUAACUGGAUGUUUGGGAGAUUAGAUUGUUUUUAACUGUGUUGUAGUUCAAUUUCAUUUAGAAACAGGUAUGGGUUUAGGAAACUUCAGCUCAACCUUAACAGCACGUGCUCAGUGGCGAACUUGCAUAGCGCCUUCUGCACUUUACAAAACAGAGCAUAUUCACACUACAUUUGUGUGCCAAAACUACAAGUCCACAAAGAUUUAUGCAUAUGUUAAGUUUAUGCAAUGUACAGUGUUCCACUAACAUAUUCUUUGCAAGACAAGCUGCUUUUGCAAUAAAAUUACAAUUAAAAAACCCCUAUACCAUUAGUAUCACUUGAGCUUUGUCUCUUACUAAAUAAUCCUUAAAUUUAUUAUGUGACUCCAGUCUGUAUGUAUUUGAUGUUUUAUCUUUGCCCUAUUAGCUUUGAACAUCAAUAGCUUAGCUUUCAUCGAAUCAGUAAAAUACUCUUCUUCCAUUGGAGCCAUACUUAAAGCCUCAUAAUUUGACUGUGUACUUUUUCCUUUCAUC
Long non-coding RNA from Falco peregrinus (peregrine falcon), 7232 nucleotides. RefSeq lists it as uncharacterized. The record is from RefSeq and is a predicted model, not a curated record. NCBI's taxonomy places the organism in Eukaryota, Metazoa, Chordata, Aves, Falconiformes, Falconidae. The transcript is spliced from 2 exons.